Molecule: non-coding RNA, 94 nt
Organism: Podospora australis
Lineage: Eukaryota; Fungi; Ascomycota; Sordariomycetes; Sordariales; Podosporaceae
Source: the annotation of a GenBank genome assembly
UCCGGUAUAGUGUAACGGUCAACAUAUCGCGUUUUCAAGUUAAAUUAACAUAACCAAAUCCGCGAAGCUCGGGGUUCGAUUCCCCGUACCGGAG